GACGAACGCUGGCGGCGUGCUUAACACAUGCAAGUCGAACGGAAAGGCCCUGCUUUUGUGGGGUGCUCGAGUGGCGAACGGGUGAGUAACACGUGAGUAACCUGCCCUUGACUUUGGGAUAACUUCAGGAAACUGGGGCUAAUACCGGAUAGGAGCUCCUGCUGCAUGGUGGGGGUUGGAAAGUUUCGGCGGUUGGGGAUGGACUCGCGGCUUAUCAGCUUGUUGGUGGGGUAGUGGCUUACCAAGGCUUUGACGGGUAGCCGGCCUGAGAGGGUGACCGGCGUCAUUGGGCCUGAGAUACGGCCCAGAGUCCUACGGGAGGCAACAGUGGGGAAUAUUGCACAGUGGGCGGAAGCCUGAUGCAGCAGCGCCGCGUUCGGGAUGACGGCCUUCGGGUUGUAAACCGCUUUCGCCUGUGACGAAGCGUGAGUGACGGUAAUGGGUAAAGAAGCACCGGCUAACUACGUG
Molecule: ribosomal RNA, 468 nt
Filed under: uncultured bacterium
Lineage: Bacteria
Description: partial 16S ribosomal RNA
Rfam family: Bacterial small subunit ribosomal RNA
Source: RNAcentral